RNAcentral lists this ribosomal RNA (467 nucleotides) under uncultured bacterium. RNAcentral describes it as "partial 16S ribosomal RNA". It matches the Rfam family "Bacterial small subunit ribosomal RNA", at positions 29 to 507 of the family's 1533-position model. The record is from RNAcentral.
ACGAACGCUGGCGGCGGGCUUAACACAUGCAAGUCGCACGGAAAGGCCCUGCUUUUGUGGGGUGCUCGAGUGGCGAACGGGGGAGGAACACGUGAGUAACCUGCCCUUGACUUUGGGAUAACUUCAGGAAACUGGGGCUAAUACCGGAUAGGAGCUCCUGCUGCAUGGUGGGGGAUGGAAAGUUUCGGCGGUUGGGGAUGGACUCGCGGCUUAUCAGCUUGUUGGUGGGGUAGUGGCUUACCAAGGCUUUGACGGGUAGCCGGCCUGGGAGGGUGGCCGGCCUCAUUGGGACUGAGAUACGGCCCAGACUCCUACGGGAGGCAACAGUGGGGAAUAUUGCACAGUGGGCGGAAGCCUGAUGCAGCAACGCCGCGUGCGGGAUGACGGCCUUCGGGUUGUAAACCGCCUUCGCCUGUGACGAAGCGUGAGUGACGGUAAUGGGUAAAGAAGCACCGGCUAACUACGUG